Molecule: non-coding RNA, 299 nt
Organism: Macaca mulatta (Rhesus monkey)
Lineage: Eukaryota; Metazoa; Chordata; Mammalia; Primates; Cercopithecidae
Source: RefSeq, a predicted model, not a curated record
ACUAAUCGACAGUCAACAAUUCCAUACUGAGAAGCUGCGAUUUGCUGAGCACAGUCAGUGUCCUGCAGACAUGACCGGAUAUAGUCCCUGCCCUCAAGGGGUGAGGGUAUUCCCAGGGAUGAGGACACCUGGGACAGAGAAGGCAUCCCAGAGGAAAGGCUAUGUGAGGACACAGGGAGAAGACAGCCAUGUACAAGGCAAGGAGCAAGCUCUCUCCAGAAACUGAUCCUGCUGGUACCUUGAUCUUGGACUUCCAGCCUCCAGAACCACGAGAAAAUAAAUGUCUGCUGUUUAAGCCA